RNAcentral lists this ribosomal RNA (253 nucleotides) under uncultured bacterium. RNAcentral describes it as "partial 16S ribosomal RNA". It matches the Rfam family "Bacterial small subunit ribosomal RNA", at positions 524 to 776 of the family's 1533-position model. The record is from RNAcentral.
UACGUAGGGGGCAAGCGUUGUCCGGAUUUAUUGGGCGUAAAGCGCGUGUAGGCGGCCAGAUAGGUCUGCUGUGAAAACUCGAGGCUCAACCUCGAGAUGUCGGCGGAAACCACUUGGCUAGAGUCCGGAAGAGGAGAGUGGAAUUCCCGGUGUAGCGGUGAAAUGCGCAGAUAUCGGGAAGAACACCUAUGGCGAAGGCAGCUCUCUGGGACGGUACUGACGCUGAGACGCGAAAGCGUGGGGAGCGAACAGG